Molecule: ribosomal RNA, 338 nt
Filed under: uncultured Janthinobacterium sp.
Lineage: Bacteria; Pseudomonadati; Pseudomonadota; Betaproteobacteria; Burkholderiales; Oxalobacteraceae
Description: bacterial SSU rRNA
Rfam family: Bacterial small subunit ribosomal RNA
Source: RNAcentral
CGGGAGCNCGGAGCUUGCUCUGGUGGCGAGUGGCGAACAGGUGAGUAAUAUAUCGGAACGUACCCUGGAGUGGGGGAUAACGUACCGAAAGUUACGCUAAUACCGCAUACGAUCUAAGGAUGAAAGUGGGNGAUCGCAAGACCUCAUGCUCGUGGAGCGGCCGAUAUCUGAUUAGCUAGUUGGUAGGGUAAAAGCCUACCAAGGCAUCGAUCAGUAGCUGGUCUGAGAGGACGACCAGCCACACUGGAACUGAGACACGGUCCAGACUCCUACGGGAGGCAGCAGUGGGGAAUUUUGGACAAUGGGCGAAAGCCUGAUCCAGCAAUGCCGCUUGAGUG